RNAcentral lists this ribosomal RNA (536 nucleotides) under uncultured bacterium. RNAcentral describes it as "bacterial SSU rRNA". It matches the Rfam family "Bacterial small subunit ribosomal RNA", at positions 19 to 556 of the family's 1533-position model. The record is from RNAcentral.
CUGGCUCAAGAUGAACGCUGGCGGCGUGCCUAACACAUGCAAGUCGAACGGGGUAUAUAAGCGGAAGUUUACGGAUGGAAGGUUAUAUACUUAGUGGCGGACGGGUGAGUAACGCGUGGGCAACCUGCCCCGUGCCGGGGGAUACCGCCUGGAAACAGGCGCUAAUACCGCAUAAGCGCAUACAGCCGCAUGGGUGUAUGCGGAAAGCUCCGGCGGCACGGGAUGGGCCCGCGCCCGAUUAGCCAGUUGGCGGGGUAACGGCCCACCAAAGCGACGAUCGGUAGCCGGCCUGAGAGGGCGGACGGCCACAUUGGGACUGAGACACGGCCCAAACUCCUACGGGAGGCAGCAGUGGGGAAUAUUGCACAAUGGGGGAAACCCUGAUGCAGCAACGCCGCGUGGGUGAAGAAGUAUUUCGGUAUGUAAAGCUCUAUCAGCAGGGAAGAAAAUGACGGUACCUGAUUAAGAAGCCCCGGCUAACUACGUGCCAGCAGCCGCGGUAAUACGUAGGGGGCAAGCGUUAUCCGGAUUUACUG